This 1175-nucleotide ribosomal RNA is filed under the name Kocuria turfanensis. Its description in RNAcentral is "bacterial SSU rRNA". It matches the Rfam family "Bacterial small subunit ribosomal RNA", at positions 30 to 1208 of the family's 1533-position model. Lineage: Bacteria; Bacillati; Actinomycetota; Actinomycetes; Micrococcales; Micrococcaceae. The record is from RNAcentral.
UGGAGGGGGCAGCUCGCUUAACAUGCAGUCGAACGAUGAUCUCCCGCUUGCGGGGGUGAUUAGUGGCGAACGGGUGAGUAAUACGUGAGUAACCUGCCCUUGACUCUGGGAUAAGCCUGGGAAACCGGGUCUAAUACUGGAUACGACCCCCUGUCGCAUGGUGGGGGGUGGAAAGGGUUUGACUGGUUUUGGAUGGGCUCACGGCCUAUCAGCUUGUUGGUGGGGUAAUGGCUCACCAAGGCGACGACGGGUAGCCGGCCUGAGAGGGUGACCGGCCACACUGGGACUGAGACACGGCCCAGACUCCUACGGGAGGCAGCAGUGGGGAAUAUUGCACAAUGGGCGGAAGCCUGAUGCAGCGACGCCGCGUGAGGGAUGACGGCCUUCGGGUUGUAAACCUCUUUCAGCAGGGAAGAAGCCACAAGUGACGGUACCUGCAGAAGAAGCGCCGGCUAACUACGUGCCAGCAGCCGCGGUAAUACGUAGGGCGCAAGCGUUGUCCGGAAUUAUUGGGCGUAAAGAGCUCGUAGGCGGUUUGUCGCGUCUGCUGUGAAAGCCCGGGGCUCAACCCCGGGUCUGCAGUGGGUACGGGCAGACUAGAGUGCAGUAGGGGAGACUGGAAUUCCUGGUGUAGCGGUGAAAUGCGCAGAUAUCAGGAGGAACACCGAUGGCGAAGGCAGGUCUCUGGGCUGUUACUGACGCUGAGGAGCGAAAGCAUGGGGAGCGAACAGGAUUAGAUACCCUGGUAGUCCAUGCCGUAAACGUUGGGCACUAGGUGUGGGGGACAUUCCACGUUCUCCGCGCCGUAGCUAACGCAUUAAGUGCCCCGCCUGGGGAGUACGGCCGCAAGGCUAAAACUCAAAGGAAUUGACGGGGGCCCGCACAAACGGCGGAGCAUGCGGAUUAAUUCGAUGCAACGCGAAGAACCUUACCAAGGCUUGACAUUCACCGGACUACCUCAGAGAUGGGGUUUCCCUUCGGGGUCGGUGGACAGGUGGUGCAUGGUUGUCGUCAGCUCGUGUCGUGAGAUGUUGGGUUAAGUCCCGCAACGAGCGCAACCCUCGUUCUAUGUUGCCAGCACGUGAAUGGUGGGGACUCCAUAGGAAAACUGCCCGGGUUCAACUCCGGAAGAAUGGUGAGGGAUGAAGGUCAAAUCAUCUUGGCCCCCUAAAGCC